UGGGGAAUAUUGCACAAUGGGCGGAAGCCUGAUGCAGCGACGCCGCGUGGGGGAUGAAGGCCUUCGGGUUGUAAACUCCUUUCGACAGGGACGAAGCUUUUGUGACGGUACCUGUAUAAGAAGCACCGGCUAACUACGUGCCAGCAGCCGUGGUAAUACGUAGGGUGCGAGCGUUGUCCGGAAUUACUGGGCGUAAAGAGCUCGUAGGUGGUUUGUCGCGUCGUCUGUGAAAUUCCGGGGCUUAACUCCGGGCGUGCAGGCGAUACGGGCUGACUUGAGUGCUGUAGGGGAGACUGGAAUUCCUGGUGUAGCGGUGAAAUGCGCAGAUAUCAGGAGGAACACCGAUGGCGAAGGCAGGUCUCUGGGCAGUAACUGACGCUGAGGAGCGAAAGCAUGGGUAGCGAACAGG
This 409-nucleotide ribosomal RNA is filed under the name Verrucomicrobiota bacterium. RNAcentral's name for it is "Verrucomicrobia bacterium partial 16S ribosomal RNA". It matches the Rfam family "Bacterial small subunit ribosomal RNA", at positions 355 to 776 of the family's 1533-position model. The record is from RNAcentral. Lineage: Bacteria; Pseudomonadati; Verrucomicrobiota.